RNAcentral lists this ribosomal RNA (2906 nucleotides) under Salmonella enterica subsp. enterica serovar Typhimurium. RNAcentral describes it as "bacterial LSU rRNA". It matches the Rfam family "Bacterial large subunit ribosomal RNA". The record is from RNAcentral. Lineage: Bacteria; Pseudomonadati; Pseudomonadota; Gammaproteobacteria; Enterobacterales; Enterobacteriaceae.
UUAAGCGACUAAGCGUACACGGUGGAUGCCCUGGCAGUCAGAGGCGAUGAAGGGCGUGCUAAUCUGCGAUAAGCGCCGGUAAGGUGAUAUGAACCGUUAUAACCGGCGAUACCCGAAUGGGGAAACCCAGUGUGAUUCGUCACACUAUCAUUAACUGAAUCCAUAGGUUAAUGAGGCGAACCGGGGGAACUGAAACAUCUAAGUACCCCGAGGAAAAGAAAUCAACCGAGAUUCCCCCAGUAGCGGCGAGCGAACGGGGAGGAGCCCAGAGCCUGAAUCAGCAUGUGUGUUAGUGGAAGCGUCUGGAAAGGCGCGCGAUACAGGGUGACAGCCCCGUACACAAAAGCGCAUGUGCUGUGAGCUCGAUGAGUAGGGCGGGACACGUGGUAUCCUGUCUGAAUAUGGGGGGACCAUCCUCCAAGGCUAAAUACUCCUGACUGACCGAUAGUGAACCAGUACCGUGAGGGAAAGGCGAAAAGAACCCCGGCGAGGGGAGUGAAAAAGAACCUGAAACCGUGUACGUACAAGCAGUGGGAGCACAGGUUUACCUGUGUGACUGCGUACCUUUUGUAUAAUGGGUCAGCGACUUAUAUUCUGUAGCAAGGUUAACCGUAUAGGGGAGCCGUAGGGAAACCGAGUCUUAACCGGGCGUUAAGUUGCAGGGUAUAGACCCGAAACCCGGUGAUCUAGCCAUGGGCAGGUUGAAGGUUGGGUAACACUAACUGGAGGACCGAACCGACUAAUGUUGAAAAAUUAGCGGAUGACCUGUGGCUGGGGGUGAAAGGCCAAUCAAACCGGGAGAUAGCUGGUUCUCCCCGAAAGCUAUUUAGGUAGCGCCUCGUGAAUUCAUCUCCGGGGGUAGAGCACUGUUUCGGCUAGGGGGCCAUCCCGGCUUACCAACCCGAUGCAAACUGCGAAUACCGGAGAAUGUUAUCACGGGAGACACACGGCGGGUGCUAACGUCCGUCGUGAAGAGGGAAACAACCCAGACCGCCAGCUAAGGUCCCAAAGUCAUGGUUAAGUGGGAAACGAUGUGGGAAGGCCCAGACAGCCAGGAUGUUGGCUUAGAAGCAGCCAUCAUUUAAAGAAAGCGUAAUAGCUCACUGGUCGAGUCGGCCUGCGCGGAAGAUGUAACGGGGCUAAACCAUGCACCGAAGCUGCGGCAGCGACGCUGAUGCGUUGUUGGGUAGGGGAGCGUUCUGUAAGCCUGCGAAGGUGACCUGUGAGGGUUGCUGGAGGUAUCAGAAGUGCGAAUGCUGACAUAAGUAACGAUAAAGCGGGUGAAAAGCCCGCUCGCCGGAAGACCAAGGGUUCCUGUCCAACGUUAAUCGGGGCAGGGUGAGUCGACCCCUAAGGCGAGGCCGAAAGGCGUAGUCGAUGGGAAACGGGUUAAUAUUCCCGUACUUGGUGUUACUGCGAAGGGGGGACGGAGAAGGCUAUGUUGGCCGGGCGACGGUUGUCCCGGUUUAAGCGUGUAGGUGUGUGUUCCAGGUAAAUCCGGUUCACUUUAACACUGAGGCGUGACGACGAGGCACUACGGUGCUGAAGCAACAAAUGCCCUGCUUCCAGGAAAAGCCUCUAAGCAUCAGGUAACAUCAAAUCGUACCCCAAACCGACACAGGUGGUCAGGUAGAGAAUACCAAGGCGCUUGAGAGAACUCGGGUGAAGGAACUAGGCAAAAUGGUGCCGUAACUUCGGGAGAAGGCACGCUGACACGUAGGUGAAGUGAUUUACUCAUGGAGCUGAAGUCAGUCGAAGAUACCAGCUGGCUGCAACUGUUUAUUAAAAACACAGCACUGUGCAAACACGAAAGUGGACGUAUACGGUGUGACGCCUGCCCGGUGCCGGAAGGUUAAUUGAUGGGGUCAGCGUAAGCGAAGCUCCUGAUCGAAGCCCCGGUAAACGGCGGCCGUAACUAUAACGGUCCUAAGGUAGCGAAAUUCCUUGUCGGGUAAGUUCCGACCUGCACGAAUGGCGUAAUGAUGGCCAGGCUGUCUCCACCCGAGACUCAGUGAAAUUGAACUCGCUGUGAAGAUGCAGUGUACCCGCGGCAAGACGGAAAGACCCCGUGAACCUUUACUAUAGCUUGACACUGAACAUUGAGCCUUGAUGUGUAGGAUAGGUGGGAGGCUUUGAAGUGUGGACGCCAGUCUGCAUGGAGCCGACCUUGAAAUACCACCCUUUAAUGUUUGAUGUUCUAACGUGGACCCGUAAUCCGGGUUGCGGACAGUGUCUGGUGGGUAGUUUGACUGGGGCGGUCUCCUCCUAAAGAGUAACGGAGGAGCACGAAGGUUGGCUAAUCCUGGUCGGACAUCAGGAGGUUAGUGCAAUGGCAUAAGCCAGCUUGACUGCGAGCGUGACGGCGCGAGCAGGUGCGAAAGCAGGUCAUAGUGAUCCGGUGGUUCUGAAUGGAAGGGCCAUCGCUCAACGGAUAAAAGGUACUCCGGGGAUAACAGGCUGAUACCGCCCAAGAGUUCAUAUCGACGGCGGUGUUUGGCACCUCGAUGUCGGCUCAUCACAUCCUGGGGCUGAAGUAGGUCCCAAGGGUAUGGCUGUUCGCCAUUUAAAGUGGUACGCGAGCUGGGUUUAGAACGUCGUGAGACAGUUCGGUCCCUAUCUGCCGUGGGCGCUGGAGAACUGAGGGGGGCUGCUCCUAGUACGAGAGGACCGGAGUGGACGCAUCACUGGUGUUCGGGUUGUCAUGCCAAUGGCACUGCCCGGUAGCUAAAUGCGGAAGAGAUAAGUGCUGAAAGCAUCUAAGCACGAAACUUGCCCCGAGAUGAGUUCUCCCUGAGACUUAGAGUCUCCUGAAGGAACGUUGAAGACGACGACGUUGAUAGGCCGGGUGUGUAAGCGCAGCGAUGCGUUGAGCUAACCGGUACUAAUGAACCGUGAGGCUUAACCUU